This 223-nucleotide long non-coding RNA is filed under the name Mytilus galloprovincialis (Mediterranean mussel). The record is from RNAcentral. Lineage: Eukaryota; Metazoa; Mollusca; Bivalvia; Mytilida; Mytilidae.
CCAUGUAAGACAGGCUGAUCCAUAAGUAAUUGCGAAUAAAAUGACGUUUUUCUAUUGUAAGGUGAGUCUUCAAAGCUAGUGACAUAGUAUGCAAAAACACAAAUAACCACUAAUAUCAAAAGAUGCUUUCAAUACACAUAGCAAUGGUAACUUAACAAUUCAGACAAUAAGUCGUUAAUGCAUUCGAACACAUAUAUCUGCAUUCGAGUUAUCUGAUUUUUUU